This 1984-nucleotide unclassified non-coding RNA is filed under the name Hevea brasiliensis (rubber tree). The record is from RNAcentral. Lineage: Eukaryota; Viridiplantae; Streptophyta; Magnoliopsida; Malpighiales; Euphorbiaceae.
GAAUGCUCUAAAAAUGGUCUUAUUCACUUUAGAGUGCAUGGCAAGGGGUGGUAUCCAUGAUCAUGUUGGUGGUGGUUUUCACAGAUACAGUGUAGAUGAAUGCUGGCAUGUUCCACAUUUCGAGAAAAUGCUAUAUGAUCAAGGUCAACUUGUUAAUGUCUAUCUGGAUGCCUUUUGUAUUACAAAGGAUGUGUAUUAUUCAAGUUUGUCUCGUGAUAUACUUGACUACCUGAGAAGGGAUAUGAUUGGUCCAAGUGGUGAAAUAUUUUCGGCUGAAGAUGCUGAUAGUUAUGAAUCUGAAGGUGCCUCACGGAAAAAGGAGGGUGCUUUCUAUGUCUGGACUAGUACUGAGGUCGACAACAUAGUAGGCGAGCAUGCAACACUCAUCAAAAAUCACUACUAUAUAAAACCCUCAGGUAAUUGUGAUCUUUCAAGAAAGAGUGAUCCACAUAAUGAAUUCAAGGACAAGAACGUGCUAAUAGAAAGAAGUACUACUUCUGCACUGGCAUCAAAACAUGCUUUGCCUGUUGAGGAGUAUCUUGAUAUCCUAGGGAAUGCUCGCCUAAAACUUUUUGAUGUGAGGUCGAAACGUCCCCGACCGCAUCUGGAUGAUAAGGUUAUUGUAUCAUGGAAUGGACUAGUGAUUUCAUCUCUGGCCAGGGCGUCAAAAAUCCUGAAGGGAGAACCAGAGGGAACAAGAUUUUACUUUCCAGUAACUGGCACCAAUCCCAAGGAGUACAUGGAUGUCGCUGAGAAAGCAACAUAUUUUAUUAGGAAACACCUUUAUAAUGAACAGACGCGCAGGCUCCAGCAUAGCUUCAGGAAUGGUCCCUCCAAAGCGCCUGGAUUUCUAGAUGAUUAUGCAUUUCUAAUAGCAGGUCUACUGGAUCUUUAUGAAUUCGGCGGUUCAGUCUUCUGGUUGGGUUGGGCACUAGAACUUCAGGAGAUACAGGACGAGUUAUUUCUCGACAAAACCGGAGGAGGUUACUUUAACACAACUGGUGAAGAUCCUUCUGUUCUUCUACGUGUGAAAGAAGAUCAUGAUGGGGCUGAGCCUUCAGGGAAUUCCGUUUCUGUGAUUAAUCUAGUGAGAUUGGCCUCUAUGGUUGCUGGUGAAAAAUCAAAACUUUACAGAGAGACCGGAGAACAUGUCCUGGCGGUUUUUGAGAAGAGGUUGAAAGAAGCAGCUGUUGCUGUGCCACUGAUGUGCUGUGCAGCAGAUAUGCUGGCUAUUCCGUCCAGAAAGCAAGUAGUUAUAGUCGGAGUGAAGUCUUCUGAGGAGUUUGAAAGCAUGGUUACCGCUGCUCAUGCAGCAUAUGAUCCUAACAAGACGGUGAUCCAUAUCGAUCCCAAGGAUGCAGAAGAUGUGGCAUUUUGGGAAGAAACUAAUAGAAAUAUUGCUCUGAUGGCGAAAAACAAUGCUGCUGCGGACAAAGUGGUAGCCCUUGUUUGCCAAAACUUCACAUGUAGCCCUCCAGUCAGUGACCCGAAAGCUCUUGAAUCGUUGCUCUCGCAGUAGAUAAACUUCUAAAAGCAGUUCAAGAGUGUACAUAAAGUGACGAAAAACUGGAGAGGCGGAGAUCAGUCUUGAAUCGUUGCUCUCGCAGUAGAUAAACUUCUAAAAGCAGUUCAAGAGUGUACAUAAAGUGACGAAAAACUGGAGAGGCGGAGAUCAGUCUUGAAUCGUUGCUCUCGCAGUACUAAAAGUAGUUCAAGAGUGUGUACAUAAAGUGGUGAAAAGCUGGAGAGACGGAGAUCCGUCGUUGGUUAUGCGUAGCAAUAAGGCUCUGUAUGGUGGUUCUGAGUUCUUGUGGAUCAACUGAUCAUUAUACUGUAGUUCAUUAGUUCAAAGUAAUGUAGAUGAGAGCUAGAAAUUAAGUUCACUUUUUGAGUUUAAUGAAUGCUUACACUUGUAUAGUUAGGUCAAUCCUGGUAUUGGAGAAUAUUUAUAAGUUUAUUUUUAACAUUAAUAGUUGGAAUAAAU